GAUGAACGCUGGCGGCGUGCUUAACACAUGCAAGUCGAACGGGAAGAGCUGUUUCGGGUGGGGGACGGGUGGGGAACGCGUGAGAAACACGCGGGGGAAGUGGACCACUAACUGGGAUAGGCAGGGAAUACCCUGGAGAAUAAGGAGCAAAAGGGGGCAUCCGCCUGGGGGGGGGGUGGAAGCUGCGGCGGGGGGGGAGGGGGCCGCGGCCUGCUAGGUUGUUGGUGGGGAGAUGGUCUACCAAGGCAAUGAGGGGUAGCGGGGGUGAGAGACGGACCAGCCAGAUUGGGACUGAGACACGGCCCAGACUCCUACGGGAGGCAGCAGUGGGGAAUAUUGCACAAUGGGCGAAAGCCUGAUGCAGCGACGCCGCGUGCGGGAGGAAGGCCUUCGGGUUGUAAACCGCUUUCAGCAGGGACGAGGCGAAAGUGACGGUACUUGGAAAAGAAGCCCCGGCUAACUACGUG
This 467-nucleotide ribosomal RNA is filed under the name uncultured bacterium. Its description in RNAcentral is "partial 16S ribosomal RNA". It matches the Rfam family "Bacterial small subunit ribosomal RNA", at positions 28 to 507 of the family's 1533-position model. The record is from RNAcentral.